RNAcentral lists this ribosomal RNA (511 nucleotides) under uncultured bacterium. RNAcentral's name for it is "bacterial SSU rRNA". It matches the Rfam family "Bacterial small subunit ribosomal RNA", at positions 15 to 518 of the family's 1533-position model. The record is from RNAcentral.
GAUCAUGGCUCAGGAUGAACGCUAGCUACAGGCUUAACACAUGCAAGUCGAGGGGUAACAUGAUAGAAGCUUGCUUUAUUGAUGACGACCGGCGCACGGGUGAGUAACGCGUAUCCAACCUUCCCUAUACUAGAGGAUAGCCCGGCGAAAGUCGGAUUAAUACUCUAUGUUGUUCGAUGCGGACAUCUAAAUUGAACCAAAGGUUUACCGGUAUAGGAUGGGGAUGCGUCUGAUUAGGUUGUUGGCGGGUAACGGCCACCAAGCCAGCGAUCAGUAGGGGUUCUGAGAGGAAGGUCCCCCACAUUGGUACUGAGACACGGACCAAACUCCUACGGGAGGCAGCAGUGAGGAAUAUUGGUCAAUGGGCGAGAGCCUGAACCAGCCAAGUAGCGUGCAGGAUGACGGCCCUAUGGGUUGUAAACUGCUUUUGCCGGGGAAUAAAGUGCAGUACGUGUACUGUUUUGUAUGUACCCGGAGAAUAAGGACCGGCUAAUUCCGUGCCAGCAGCUGC